GACAGAGGGUGCAAACGUUGUUCGGAUUUACUGGGCGUAAAGCGUGUGUAGGCAGCUUCGCAAGUUGGAUGUGAAAUCCCACGGCUCAACCGUGGACGUGCAUCCAAAACUGCGUCGCUAGAGUCUCGGAGAGGAAGGUGGAAUGCUUGGUGUAGAGGUGAAAUUCGUAGAUAUCAAGCAGAACACCUGCGGCGAAGGCGGCCUUCUGGACGAUGACUGACGCUGAGACACGAAAGCGUGGGGAGCAAACAGG
This 253-nucleotide ribosomal RNA is filed under the name uncultured bacterium. RNAcentral describes it as "partial 16S ribosomal RNA". It matches the Rfam family "Bacterial small subunit ribosomal RNA", at positions 524 to 776 of the family's 1533-position model. The record is from RNAcentral.